AUGCUGGUAUAUAUGCUAUCCUCAAAACUUCAUGUCAACCAGGUUGUACCUUCUUUAAAGACAAUGGACCUGUCCUACCAUUCCUACUGGGAUUGCUCAAAUGAUCAGUCCACUGUGCUGAUGAAUGUUCAGUAAAUGUAGCUGAAUACUGAAAGGGAAUAAAGGAAUUCAAAACUAUUGUGAAUUUUGAAAA
Molecule: long non-coding RNA, 193 nt
Filed under: Bos indicus x Bos taurus (hybrid cattle)
Lineage: Eukaryota; Metazoa; Chordata; Mammalia; Artiodactyla; Bovidae
Description: lncRNA (ENSBIXG00005015958.1)
Source: RNAcentral